UCCCAGGUGGCUCAGAUGGUAAAGCAUCUGCCUGCAAUGCGGGAGACCUGGGUUCAAUCCCUGGGUUGGGAU
RNAcentral lists this transfer RNA (72 nucleotides) under Ovis aries (sheep). It matches the Rfam family "tRNA". From Rfam's summary of the family: Transfer RNA (tRNA) molecules are approximately 80 nucleotides in length. Their secondary structure includes four short double-helical elements and three loops (D, anti-codon, and T loops). Further hydrogen bonds mediate the characteristic L-shaped molecular structure. tRNAs have two regions of fundamental functional importance: the anti-codon, which is responsible for specific mRNA codon recognition, and the 3' end, to which the tRNAs corresponding amino acid is attached (by aminoacyl-tRNA synthetases). tRNAs cope with the degeneracy of the genetic code in two manners: having more than one tRNA (with a specific anti-codon) for a particular amino acid; and 'wobble' base-pairing, i.e. permitting non-standard base-pairing at the 3rd anti-codon position. The record is from Rfam by way of RNAcentral. Lineage: Eukaryota; Metazoa; Chordata; Mammalia; Artiodactyla; Bovidae.